RNAcentral lists this long non-coding RNA (1446 nucleotides) under Numida meleagris (helmeted guineafowl). RNAcentral's name for it is "lncRNA (ENSNMEG00000020011.1)". The record is from RNAcentral. Lineage: Eukaryota; Metazoa; Chordata; Aves; Galliformes; Numididae.
UGUCACUGCUGUCAGAACAGGGAAUUUUCUUCAAAGAACUCUAACAAGAUAGACCUGUUUUCUGUAAAGCAGUCUGGAUUGUCUCUCUUAGCAAAGAAUUUUUUUUUUCCAACAGACUGAGUUCCAGUAAUUCAUCUUGCCAAAUAUUUGUUGCAACGAUGCUUUCUUUAAUGUUCAUAGCAUUGAUUAUUUAAAAUUUUAUAGAGACCUGCACAGAAGAUAAGUGGCAUUUUCAAAGAAUUGAGGACUAAUUUGCAUGUGUGCAUUUCAAGAGACAGUAAGAGAGUCCAACUGCCUGUGCAGACCUGAGGAGCUGGAGGCGAGGGGCUGACUCCUUCAGGUCUGUAAUAAUCUGGUGACAUAAAACACAUUGCAUCAGCGUGUCCUUGGCCACCUGCCGCCUGUUACAAUCCUCUGUCUCUGCCUCAGAUGAAUGGUCCCUGUCUUGGCAGCACCAACCAGUCUCCAGGCUGCUCAAUAUAGAUGUGCCGCAAGUCCUGUCAUGCAGGUUUUGUUUGUUUUACUGUCAGGGUGGCUGAGCAUUGACACAGGCCAUCCAGAGUCACUGGAGUCUUUGUCUUUGGAGAUAGUCUAUAUCUGACUGCACAUAGUCAAAGGCAGUGGACUUAGAUUGCCCUGCUUGAGCAAGGGUUUGGACCAGAUGACCUCAGAGGUGCCUCCAGCCUCAACUGUUCUGUGAUCUGGAUGCUUUGUGGAAGAGAGGGAAACAAAUCUUGGCGGUAGUAAUGAAUACAAACUAGUCUGGGGAAAAUGUCAGUGAUGCCAGUUCAGGCAGAAAGAAAGUGGAGGCACAGCGCAGCCUCAGCGGUGCUUGCCCACGUCUCCAGGAGCGCAGCCUGCAGCCAGCCGGGUGCAGACAGCACGAGCUCUGAUGUGGUGGGAUUGAAGCCGGGCUGCACGCUGCAGCCAGGCGCCGAGGGAACGCGUUCCCACCGCGGAACUCAGCCGGGUGCUCCCGCUGCCCCUGCCGCCUUCAGCCGGACGAGGCUCGGCCGUCCCGCUCUGCACACCGCCCUCCGGAGAGGCACCGGGCCGGCCCCGCGGGACGUCAGGGCAAAGACGGCUCUGCCCGCUGCGUCCUGCGUUCUUGGCCGCCCGCACCCGUGAGCAGCUGCCUCCUUCUCCUUGUCCUCCCGGGACGUUCCCGAGCUCAGAGCUGCGGGCGUGCCAGGCAGCGCUCUGCUGAGCCCCAGCCCCGCGCAGCUCCGCGGUUACCGGCGCGGUCCCGCACGUCUCCCAUCCCCUGCAGCGCUGCCAGCCCCGCUCCGUCCCUUGUCCUGCUGGUUUCCCUGCUGCUAGCGUCACGGCCAGCUUCUUAACUACAGAUUAUUUAACUUGAUAUGAAUUUGAAAGUGAUACAGGAUAUGAGAUGGAAUCAUAUCUUCUAGAAAUAAAUGGAAAACCGUUGAUUUUGGAAUGAGUAUG